Molecule: ribosomal RNA, 407 nt
Filed under: bacterium Ellin319
Lineage: Bacteria; Pseudomonadati; Pseudomonadota; Alphaproteobacteria; Sphingomonadales; Sphingomonadaceae
Description: bacterial SSU rRNA
Rfam family: Bacterial small subunit ribosomal RNA
Source: RNAcentral
AACGAACGCUGGCGGCAUGCCUAACACAUGCAAGUCGAACGAGACCUUCGGGUCUAGUGGCGCACGGGUGCGUAACGCGUGGGAAUCUGCCCUUGGGUUCGGAAUAACAGUUAGAAAUGACUGCUAAUACCGGAUGAUGACUUCGGUCCAAAGAUUUAUCGCCCAAGGAUGAGCCCGCGUCGGAUUAGCUAGUUGGUGAGGUAAAGGCUCACCAAGGCGACGAUCCGUAGCUGGUCUGAGAGGAUGAUCAGCCACACUGGGACUGAGACACGGCCCAGACUCCUACGGGAGGCAGCAGUGGGGAAUAUUGGACAAUGGGCGAAAGCCUGAUCCAGCAAUGCCGCGUGAGUGAUGAAGGCCUUAGGGUUGUAAAGCUCUUUUACCCGGGAUGAUAAUGACAGUACCGG